GCUCGGCGCGGACCAACGUAAACACAACAAACAACGUAAACAACAACAAACCCGGCCAGUUAAGUACAAUUCCACCAGACUGGAAGCCAUAACAUGUCUGCCUGGAACCGACCGUACCAUCUCAACCACAGGGGAGUUCCAACACAAACACACCACCCUACACCAUCCAGACCCAUCCACAAACGAACACACCAUCCAAUCAUUCACGGUGAAGGAUGCCAGAGAGCCGGGGGGUAUUCAAUCACCCAACCAGACACAGCGGGAUGAGACGGGAAAAAAAGAGAAGGAAGAAAAAGGGAGAAGCAGAGAGGAGAAAGUUCAUCAUAUCUUCAGCCCACAGGUCACGUCUCCACAAACAGAGAGAGAAUAACACUCUUUAUAUUUCAAGUCACCCUA
Molecule: long non-coding RNA, 396 nt
Organism: Trichomycterus rosablanca
Lineage: Eukaryota; Metazoa; Chordata; Actinopteri; Siluriformes; Trichomycteridae
Exons: 3
Source: RefSeq, a predicted model, not a curated record